Molecule: long non-coding RNA, 714 nt
Filed under: Eutrema salsugineum
Lineage: Eukaryota; Viridiplantae; Streptophyta; Magnoliopsida; Brassicales; Brassicaceae
Description: long non-coding RNA (ESAL_LNC001003)
Source: RNAcentral
CUCCACCACCACCAUACUACUACCACUCUCCUCCUCCUCCAGUCAAAUCACCACCGCCACCGUACUACUACCACUCCCCGCCUCCUCCGGUGAAAUCCCCACCACCACCAUAUUACUACCACUCACCACCUCCACCGGUGAAAUCUCCACCACCACCAUACUAUUACCACUCACCACCUCCUCCGGUGAAGUCUCCUCCACCACCAUACUACUAUCACUCUCCACCACCACCGGUGAAAUCUCCUCCUCCUUACUAUUAUCAUUCUCCACCUCCUCCGGUGAAAUCUCCUCCACCACCGUACUACUACCAUUCUCCACCUCCUCCAGUCAAGUCUCCACCACCACCGUACUACUAUCAUUCACCACCUCCUCCGGUGAAAUCUCCACCACCACCAUACUAUUACCACUCACCACCCCCACCUGUGAAAUCUCCUCCUCCACCAUACUACUAUCACUCACCUCCUCCUCCGGUGAAAUCUCCACCACCACCAUACUAUUACCAUUCACCACCCCCUCCAGUCAAAUCUCCUCCUCCACCAUACUACUACCACUCACCACCUCCUCCAGUGAAAUCUCCACCACCACCAUACUAUUACAACUCUCCACCACCACCGGUGAAAUCUCCUCCACCUCCAGUCUACAUCUACGCUUCUCCCCCACCUCCCACCCAUUACUAGGCUCAUCAAAUUCAACCAAAUUUCCCCAUUAUUCAAG